UGGCGAACGGGUGAGUAACACGUGAGCAACCUGCCUUUCAGUGGGGGACAACAUUUGGAAACGAAUGCUAAUACCGCAUAAGACCACAGUGUCGCAUGGCACAGGGGUCAAAGGAUUUAUCCGCUGAAAGAUGGGCUCGCGUCCGAUUAGCUAGAUGGUGAGGUAACGGCCCACCAUGGCAACGAUCGGUAGCCGGACUGAGAGGUUGAACGGCCACAUUGGGACUGAGACACGGUCCAGACUCCUACGGGAGGCAGCAGUGGGGAAUAUUGCACAAUGGGGGAAAGCCUGAUGCAGCGACGCCGCGUGGAGGACGAAGGUCUUCGGAUUGUAAACUCCUGUCCCAGGGGACGAUUAUGACGGUACCCUGGGAGGCAGCACCGGGUAACUACGUGCCAGGAAGCCGUGUUAAAACGUAAGGGUGCAAGCGUUGUCCGGAAUUACUGGGUGUAAAGGGAGCGCAGGCGGAUUGGCAAGUUGGGAGUGAAAUCUAUGGGCUCAACCCAUAAAUUGCUUUCAAAACUGUCAGUCUUGAGUGGUGUAGAGGUAGGCGGAAUUCCCGGUGUAGCGGUGGAAUGCGUAGAUAUCGGGAGGAACACCAGUGGCGAA
This 609-nucleotide ribosomal RNA is filed under the name uncultured Lachnospiraceae bacterium. RNAcentral describes it as "bacterial SSU rRNA". It matches the Rfam family "Bacterial small subunit ribosomal RNA", at positions 96 to 719 of the family's 1533-position model. Lineage: Bacteria; Bacillati; Bacillota; Clostridia; Lachnospirales; Lachnospiraceae. The record is from RNAcentral.